Molecule: ribosomal RNA, 460 nt
Filed under: uncultured bacterium
Lineage: Bacteria
Description: partial 16S ribosomal RNA
Rfam family: Bacterial small subunit ribosomal RNA
Source: RNAcentral
CCUACGGGUGGCAGCAGUGAGGAAUAUUGUACAAUGGACGAGAGUCUGAUCCAGCCAAGUCGCGUGAGGGAUGACUGCCCUCUGGGUUUUAAACUUCUUUUAUAUGGGUAUAACAGCUUCCACGGUUGUGAUUUUGUAUGUACCAUAUGAAUCAGCGUCGGCUAACUCCGUACCAGCAGCCGGAGUAAUACGGAGGGUCCUGUCGUUCGCCGGAAUUAGUGGGUUUAAGGGUUUCGUAGGUGGAUGGUUACGUCCGUUGUGAAAGGUUGCUGGUCAACUGGAAAAGUGCAGUUGAAACUGGCAGGCUUGAGUACAGUAGAGGUGGGCGGAAUUCGUGGUGUAGCGGUGAAAUGCGUAGAUAUCACGAAGAACUCCGAUUGCGAAGGCAGUUCACUGGACUGCAACUGACACUGAGGCUCGAAAGUGUGGGUAUCAAACAGGAGUAGAUACCCGUGUAGUC